GACGAACGCUGGCGGCGUGCUUAACACAUGCAAGUCGAACGGAAAGGCCCUGCUUUCGUGGGGUGCUCGAGUGGCGAACGGGUGCGUAACACGUGAGUAACCUGCCCUUGACUUUCGGAUAACUUCAGGAAACUGGGGCUAAUACCGGACAGCAGCUCCUGCUGCAUGGUGGGGGUUGGAAAGUUUCGGCGGUUGGGGAUGGACUCGCGGCUUAUCAGCUUGUUGGUGGGGUAGUGGCUGACCCAGGCAUUGACGGGUAGCCGGCCUGUGAGGGUGACCGGCCUCCAGGGGACUGAGAUACAGCGCAGACUCCUACGGGAGGCAGCAGUGGGGAGUAUUGCACAAUGGGCGGAAGCCUGAUGCAGCAACGCCGCGGGCGGGAUGACGGCCUUCGGGUUGUAAACCGCUUUCGCCUGUGACGAAGCGUGAGUGACGGUAAUGGGUAAAGAAGCACCGGCUAACUACGUG
RNAcentral lists this ribosomal RNA (468 nucleotides) under uncultured bacterium. RNAcentral's name for it is "partial 16S ribosomal RNA". It matches the Rfam family "Bacterial small subunit ribosomal RNA", at positions 28 to 507 of the family's 1533-position model. The record is from RNAcentral.